GACGAACGCUGGCGGCGUGCUUAACACAUGCCAGUCGUACGGUAAGGCCCUUUCGGGGGUACACGAGUGGCGAACGGGUGAGUAACACGUGAGUAACCUGCCCACAACUUUGGGAUAACGCUAGGAAACUGGUGCUAAUACUGGAUAUGUGCCCCUGCUGCAUGGUGGGGGUUGGAAAGCUCCGGCGGUUGUGGAUGGACUCGCGGCCUAUCAGCUUGUUGGUGGGGUAGUGGCCUACCAAGGCGGCGACGGGUAGCCGGCCUGAGAGGGUGACCGGCCACAUUGGGACUGAGAUACGGCCCAGACUCCUACGGGAGGCAGCAGUGGGGAAUAUUGCACAAUGGCGCAAGCCUGAUGCAGCAACGCCGCGUGCGGGAGGACGGCCUUCGGGUUGUAAACCGCUUUCAGCAGGGACGAAGCUUUUUGUGACGGUACCUGCAGAAGAAGCACCGGCUAACUACGUG
Molecule: ribosomal RNA, 464 nt
Filed under: uncultured bacterium
Lineage: Bacteria
Description: partial 16S ribosomal RNA
Rfam family: Bacterial small subunit ribosomal RNA
Source: RNAcentral